CUUAUCAGGACCGUCGUGUUUUCAGGAGGCGCUAACAACAGUUCACUUUAAGUUCGCGAGCGCGGAGCUUUUCAGAAAACACUCGCUCUCUCAGACACUAUGCUAUCUCAAAUUCUCUCACGAAACUUUCACAAAACCCUCGCUCUCUCAACUCUCUCUCACAUCGAUGAAGCACAUCUCCCUCUCACCAUCCACCGAGUUUGCAGAGAUCGCCAUCUCCAUCGCGUCAUUCAGUCCACCGAGCUCACCGCGUUCAGUCCACCGAACUCGCCUCGUUCGCCAAAAUUUAUUCUCUCCCUCUGAAAACGAACCAAGCUCAAGCACUAAUUUGAAGGGAAAAACCCCAAGUUGCUGCUACAAGGAAGCUUACUCAGUGGUCAAGAAAGGUACUAGCAUACAACUUUCUUUGCCUUGCUCCACUUGAGUUGUCAGUCUGUAACAAAGCUUCAAGCAUGGCAUUUCAAGUAUUUUGACCUAUUGUUGCUGAUAUUGCUAGAGUGGAGGGGGGAAUACAACAACUUGGAAAAUGUGCAAGGAAGGCGGAGCUAACUCAUACAUCCAAGAACAAAUUGAUGAAGUUUGUAUCAAAUUAGUAGAAUUUGUGAGCAA
Non-coding RNA from Prunus avium (sweet cherry), 609 nucleotides. Lineage: Eukaryota; Viridiplantae; Streptophyta; Magnoliopsida; Rosales; Rosaceae. The record is from RefSeq and is a predicted model, not a curated record.